Non-coding RNA from Strigomonas culicis, 252 nucleotides. NCBI's taxonomy places the organism in Eukaryota, Euglenozoa, Kinetoplastea, Trypanosomatida, Trypanosomatidae. The record is from Rfam.
AUGCUCUGUCACCUUCGGGGGCUUGAAUGCUCGAGUGGGGAUUACCUGGAUUAGCGAGGGCGUUCGCUGCGUUGACAUGGUGCUCUGCUUGGCUGUGUGUCGGUGCUCUGUGCGCCACUGUAGAGAGGCAGUGCGGACACCGUUAAAGUUAAGGCAAUGGAUCAGGCCGGGAACGGAACAAUCCACCUUGCGCACGUCGGCCGUUGUAGAAACACACCGUGGAGCAGAUCGGCGUCUGAGCCCCAGGGGUCG